Long non-coding RNA from Ornithodoros turicata, 422 nucleotides. RefSeq lists it as uncharacterized. The transcript is spliced from 4 exons. NCBI's taxonomy places the organism in Eukaryota, Metazoa, Arthropoda, Arachnida, Ixodida, Argasidae. The record is from RefSeq and is a predicted model, not a curated record.
CCUCCUCCUUUUCUACAUGGCGGCAAUCAAACUUGUAAACAAACAUGCUCGGCACAAAGUUUAAACAGUGCACUGGUUUAAAGCUUCAAUGCGGUUCUAGUAGUGGCAAAAUAGCUUCGAGUGUUUACUUUUCACUUCGAGGUAUUUGAAAUGAGUGCACCAGCAUUGUACAGGUACAGGACAACAAAACAGUUUUGUGAAGAACGCAGAACAGGACCUGAAGGAGCAAGACACAGGCCGCAUGCUCGAGUGAGAGAAACAGGGAUUCAUCUACGGAAAAUAGAAAAAGAAGUCCACGCAAUAUUUCUUCAGGAACUUCUUUCCGGCACCUCUUCUGUCUGAACGUAGCUGACCCUCUGACAAACGGACCCAAUUUUCCCUUUCCAAUUUACGUGGGAUGAGGACAGCACUGCGCAUUAAAG